Molecule: long non-coding RNA, 217 nt
Filed under: Panax ginseng (ginseng)
Lineage: Eukaryota; Viridiplantae; Streptophyta; Magnoliopsida; Apiales; Araliaceae
Description: long non-coding RNA (PGIN_LNC004638)
Source: RNAcentral
AGAAACUCACCUUCUUUUUUCUUUUUUUUUUGUAAUGUAGGUUGAAUUCUACAAUAAAAAUAUAUACAUAUUUACCAUUAAGUUAUCACUUUUAAUCGACAAUCUUGCCUUGCGUAUUGACAUGGAGAAAUUAAAAUUUACCAUUAGUUUUAGAAUGAGGGAAUUGUAAUUACAAUUUUAUCCCUGGAGAGAGAGAAAACAAAUUCUCUCUCUAUUC